Taeniopygia guttata (zebra finch) is the source of this 4438-nucleotide long non-coding RNA. The record is from Ensembl. NCBI's taxonomy places the organism in Eukaryota, Metazoa, Chordata, Aves, Passeriformes, Estrildidae.
UUUUUUUUUUCAGUGGGAUUUAGUUUAAAUAUGCUUCAGAAAUUUGGGAAUUGAGCCCAGCUUUGGGAAGGGGGGAUCAGGAGCAGAGUAAAUACCAUGGGAUGGGCUCCCAAGAAGUUGGAAAUUCUGGAUCAUUAAAAACUCAGCUUGGUUUUGUUAAUGAGAGCUCUGAACUGCUCCCAUCUCUUUAUUCCUGCUGUUUUUAAUCCAAGGGUCAUGUGGUGUUCUCCAGGAGGUGAUUUAUCUUGGGAUUAUUGGAAUUAUUUAAUGCCAAGCAAGUCUGGAGGACCAAAUUUGAUUUCCAGGGAUCCAGGGAAGGUUUUGGCUCCCAGCUCCAAUUCCUCAAGUUAAUGAAGCCACGAGGAACUCCUGGAAGAAUCAUUAAGGAAUCCAUCCCUGCCAGGAACAGAAAAGGAUCAUAGGAGAGAAUCAUGGAAUCGUUAAGUUUGGAAAACACCUCCAGGACCAUCGGGCUGGAUGAAUGGGGGUUGCUGAGUUCACAGGGAAGUUUCCAAUGGAUUAACGGAAAACCACUGAGAAAAAAGACAGGAAUAAUAAUUUCUCUCUUCCUGAGAAGGUUCUAACCAGGAUAAUCAGGUUUUUUGUCACUGAGAGGAAGAUUUGGGCUGGGAUUGGGAGAAUGUUUAUGGUGUGGAGGGUCAGGGAGUGGUGGAAGAGAUGGUGGAGGUCAGAGCAUGGGAUUGGGGGGACGUGGCAGAAAGGGGGGAUCUCUCAUCCUUUCUGAAAUAAUGGGGCAGGAUUGAAAUCGGGGAAUCAGAGAAUCCAGGAAUGGUUUAGGUUGGAAAGCGGCUUCAAAACCAUUUUAUUCCAAGCCCUGGAUACCUUCCACCAUUCCAAGCCCCAGCCAGCCUGGCCUUGGACACUUCCAGGGAUCCAGGAGCAGUCACAGCUUCUCUGGGAAAAGCAUUCCAGUCCCUCCCCACCCUCUCAGCUGAAAAUUCCUUCCAAAUAUCCCAUCCCUAUUUGGUUUAAAACCACUGCCCCUUGUUCUUGUUCCCGUUUUGUGAUACAGGACAAAUCCCAACAGUCAGGGGACACUGGGCUCUUCUCUCCUGAUUUUUUUUGAGAUUUUCCUUAAAUCUUGAACUUGGAAAUGUGACUUGGGAUUGAGGAGACUUUUGGAAGCCCAAUAUCUGCCUGAGCUGAAAACCAAACACUCUCCCUUUGAUCAAAAUAAUUCCAUUAUUCCCAUUUCUGACUCCAAAACCUCCACCACGUUUCCAGAAGGAGCUGAAAAACCUGGAAACACUGCAGGACCCCUUUUAAAUUCCACAGGAAUUCCCAGCCCUUGGGACUCCCAUUCUAAAUCCUUUUCCUUGGACAAGGAGCUGGUAAAACCCUGAUUGCUGCUUCCAAGCCCUUUCCUAUCACCGGGAAUUCCUCAUGCUCUGAGCUGGAAUUCUGAUCCCAGGGAUUUGGGGGGAUGGAAAAACGUUGUCACUUUGCUCAUCCAUUGGCAUCACCCAACUCAUCCUGAGGGAAUGCUCAUCCUCGUGUUUAUUUAUUCCUGCAAACUCUGCCUUCUUUUGUCUCAUCCCUGAAUCCCCAGGGAUUCAUUCCCAAACUUCCCAAACUGUGACGUCCUGGAGGGAUUUAUCAUUCAGGAGCUGGGAUAAAAAAGCUGGUAAAAGCUGGAUUUCAGCACGGGAUCCUGGGAAUGAGAAGGAAUUUCUGCCCACCUUGGCUCAUCUGAGAUCACAGGAACAAAGGAGCUGCCCCAGGGGAAAUUUAUAUGAAGAAACUCCUCCAAAAAUUCCUGAGUUUUCAAGGAAUUCUCAAUAAUUAGCUGAGAACAUCAAAAUCUCCAUUUCUGAGAAGGGAAUCCCAACUUAAGCAUCUCUCUUUGGAAGACGUCUCUGCUGCAAGGUCACUGAUACUUAUUUUUAAAUUUUAUAAUUAUUUUUAAAUUAUUGUAAAAUUUCAAAAUUAUUUAAAAUUAUUUUUAUGUUUCAUUAUAUUAUUAUAUUAUUAUUAUAUUAUUUUAUUUUUAUUACAUUUUAUGUUAUUUAUAAUUAUUUUUAAUUAUUUUUAAUUAUUUUAAAAUUAGUUUUAAUGAUGGUUGUCAGCAGAGCUUCCGAGAUAGGAAGGAAUUCUCACCAUGCUUUUUCCCUGGUUUAAUCUCUUUUAGGUGGCUCCCAAAAUGUUGACAUUAAUGCUGUGUACAACCCACAUUUGCAUAUAUUUAUUUUAUUUAUUAAUCACCUCACAAAAAUCCACAAUUAAAUCCUACAGACGGCAAUAUGGAAAUGGUUUAUUUGAUUCUGUGUGUAAUAAAAAAUUCAUAAUAAUAUAAUUACUUGAAUUUGAAAAGCACUACAGAUGUCAUUGUACGUUCUUAGUUUUUGUUUUAACAAGGCAGGGUUUAAAUUAAACUCCAGCUCCACACCGAGAUUAUUUCAAUUAAAGAAACCUCUUGUGAUCAAAUAUUCUUUGCUUUAAAGUCUUGCUGCAUAAAUAUUUCAUCCCGUGUUUAAUAACAACUUUUUCAGAGUGGAGAAACAAACACGGAGCUCUGAAAUUUGUGGAUUUAAACAGCUGCUGACAGAAUUUUGAGGAAUAUUUGAGUUGGGAAUUAAUUCAGCUUGGGGCAAAAUGCAGAAAUAAUGUUGGGAGGGAGGGAUCUGGAUGAAAACAAAAAGUGGAAAAUGUUAUUUUGGAGACAUCAAUUCAUAAUUUGCUGUCACAAAACUCUCCUGGGGUCCUCACUGAAGCAACAAUUAAAGUGGGAUUUAAAACAAAACCAAUUACAGACGCUCCAAUGGAAAAUAAACAUUAAUUGUUGCAGCGUUUUUUAUUUCUUUCCCAAAUAAAGACUCCUUUGGGGGAAACAGGGAGGAAUUCACAGGGAAUUUAGUGCGGAAUGUUGGGAAUCAGCUGAAUAAAGGGAGAGCUCCCACUGUCCCAGGCUGCUCCAGCCCCUGUGUCCAACCUGGCCUUGGGCACUGCCAGGGAUCCAGGGACAGCCCCAGCUGCUCUGGGAAUUCCAUGUGGGAAUAUUCCCAUGCGCUUAAUUCCAAAUAAUCCCCCUCUUGAUUCAUCAUGCACUUCCUCACAACAAUUUCCAGACUCAAAUGUGUCACAUUCAGGAUUUAUCACCUAUAAAUUCCCCACAUGAAAUAAUAAAUCCCAAUUUUUCAAGCAGAUUUGUAAAAGGUGGAAUUCCUGCUCAUCCAACACAUUCCAUUCCCAAAUUUCCAUUUCCUCCACAGUUUUCCUGCUGUUCCUUUUAUUCCAUAUGCUGCUUUUAUUACAAGUCCCACAUCCUGCUGUGGGGAGAAUAAAAUUUAUUCAUAAUUCAUAUAUUUUCAGAGUUUAAAAGAAUUGGGCUGUAAAAUCAACUUUAAUGAGCAUUUAAAAAUAAUUUUUAGGGCACUCCUGAGGUGAAAAAUUUGGGAAUGGGAAAUGGCAGAUGUGAAAUGACACAGAGACAUUUGCUCCAAAUAUUUCUAUGGAUAAACCACCAGCUUUUCCAAAUAUUUUGUGAUGGGAUUUUAUAAACUGGAUGAUCAUGUAGGGAUGAUCAUGAUCAGCCCCAGAAAAAAAAAAAAAGUGAAUCUGAGAUGGAACAGGUUGAGGAGUAAAAUUCCUGCUGCUCCAUGAAUGGAAAAAGCCAUUGGAAGCAGGAAAAUAUAAAAUGAGUUGUGAGACAGAAUUUGCAGGAAAAGCCAUUUUUAGUUUUGGUUUGGUCUGGAACUUCCUAAAACAUCUUGUUCCUGCUUUUUUCUCAUCAUAUUUUAAGGGAUGGGUUUUUUGGGGAAUUCAUUAAGCAGAAGAUUCCAUGUGGGAUUUCACUUGGAUCCGUUACUGUCUGACGCCCUCCUGGUUUUUGAUUAAAUGAUGCCAUUUUGGGUUUAGAAAUGUUUUAAAAUGCUUUGGAUUUAGUUCAUUUUGCCACAAUUUGGAAUUCUACCAAGGAACAUCAGAAUUAAAGACCAGAUCCUCUAAUAAAUGAUGGAUAAUUGAAGGAAAGGAAAACGGUUUUUAUCACUUUAAUCAGGAAAAAAUUAUUUGGUGCCUCUUUGUGACAAUCCCAAAUCUCCAUUCCUUUUGGAACUGAAUGUCAGAGACUUGGCUCCAUGAAAAUGAUGGAAAGAAAUAGUUUUAGUUUUGAAAAUCCCAGGUUUUAAAGUCAGGAUGGUCUUCCAAAAGUCUGAUCCCUCAGGUGGUUCAUGUGGAUGACCAAUGGGAUAUUCCCCAGGACAGCCAGGAAUGGGAAUUCUUGGGACUAAAAUUAGUAGCAUUUUCAAAAUUUAUUGAUGAUUUUGUACAGAAAACCUGGUCUUGAGGACCUGACCCCAAAGAGAGGGGUGGGAUGGGUUUGUUCCCAUCAUCAUUUGGGAACAGAGAUGGAAAAUCCAUGGGAUGGGGGAGCUGUUCCUGCCUUUUUAGGUGGCCGCUGAGCACUGACCACAGACAC